RNAcentral lists this ribosomal RNA (480 nucleotides) under uncultured bacterium. Its description in RNAcentral is "partial 16S ribosomal RNA". It matches the Rfam family "Bacterial small subunit ribosomal RNA", at positions 28 to 506 of the family's 1533-position model. The record is from RNAcentral.
GAUGAACGCUGGCGGCGUGCUUAACACAUGCAAGUCGAACGAAGCACUUUAUUUGAUUUCCUUCGGGACUGAUUAUUUUGUGACUGAGUGGCGGACGGGUGAGUAACGCGUGGGUAACCUGCCUUGUACAGGGGGAUAACAGUUGGAAACGGCUGCUAAUACCGCAUAAGCGCACAGCAUCGCAUGAUGCAGUGUGAAAAACUCCGGUGGUAUAAGAUGGACCCGCGUUGGAUUAGCUAGUUGGUGAGGUAACGGCCCACCAAGGCGACGAUCCAUAGCCGACAUGAGAGGGUGACCGGCCACAUUGGGACUGAGACACGGCCCAAACUCCUACGGGAGGCAGCAGUGGGGAAUAUUGCACAAUGGGCGAAAGCCUGAUGCAGCGACGCCGCGUGAGCGAAGAAGUAUUUCGGUAUGUAAAGCUCUAUCAGCAGGGAAGAUAAUGACGGUACCUGACUAAGAAGCACCGGCUAAAUACGU